This 83-nucleotide transfer RNA is filed under the name Schistocephalus solidus. It matches the Rfam family "tRNA". From Rfam's summary of the family: Transfer RNA (tRNA) molecules are approximately 80 nucleotides in length. Their secondary structure includes four short double-helical elements and three loops (D, anti-codon, and T loops). Further hydrogen bonds mediate the characteristic L-shaped molecular structure. tRNAs have two regions of fundamental functional importance: the anti-codon, which is responsible for specific mRNA codon recognition, and the 3' end, to which the tRNAs corresponding amino acid is attached (by aminoacyl-tRNA synthetases). tRNAs cope with the degeneracy of the genetic code in two manners: having more than one tRNA (with a specific anti-codon) for a particular amino acid; and 'wobble' base-pairing, i.e. permitting non-standard base-pairing at the 3rd anti-codon position. The record is from Rfam by way of RNAcentral. Lineage: Eukaryota; Metazoa; Platyhelminthes; Cestoda; Diphyllobothriidea; Diphyllobothriidae.
GGCCUUGUAGCUCAGUUAGUUAGAGCGUUGGCUUUACUAAAGCCAUCCAAUUGCUGGCGUGGGUUCGAAUCCCACCGAGGCCU